AAAAAGGCCAUUCCUUCUUUUCUUUCUUCUUUUUUAUCUCUCUCUCUCUCUCUUUCUCUCUUUCCAUCACUCGUGGGUCCUCCUUCCUUCCUUCUUCUUCUCCCUGAUGGCGGCACCGAAAACCCUGGGUACACAGCAGACGGGUUCACUGGGGCAAUGCCCGGCAAAAAAAAAAAGGAAGAAGAAGUUUUGGACACCGUCACUGCCUUUUUUUUUCUUCUUUUCUUUCUAUACAUCAAACCCAGCAGUUCGUUCGACAGACGAUUUUUUUUUUCUUUUUCCGUACUUGAUUGUCGACUCUGAUGACACGAUUGCCAGUUAUUCACCUCGAAAUUAUCGGAUCAAUUGUCAUACAUACGGGUUCGAAGGGUUGUUUUUGUUUCUUUGGCUUUUUUUUAACUUGCUAAUUUAACAUACAUUGACUUGUGGCGCUCCACUGAUUGCGAAUCAAAUUUUUUUUUUAAACAAAAAAAUGGACGAAUGUGGAAUAGACCGAUCCCGAAUCGGACUGAUUAAAGACACUAAGAAUAAAUCAAGUGAUUGUUCAAUUAUAUAUUUGGCCGUGUUUGAAGCGGCAAAGCACAGAACGCGCAUCCAACAUCUCGAGAGAAAAAGAACAAAAAAAAAAAAUAAACACAGAAAAAACAAAAAGCCAAAAGAAAAAGUUACAGGAAAAAAAUGGUAGGGCGGUGGAAAGAGUUGAAUGAAUGUUCUCUGGGCGAAGCGAACGUGCCAAAGUAUAACGCGGAAGUGGAUGCUCUGCGAUAGAGCCUUAGACUUCUGCCGCUUCGUUCGCUCGCUUCAGGUCAAUGGCGCCCAUUUUCUUGUCCUAUCCUUUUCCUUCUUUUUGUAGUUUCGUUCCUCUUCGUUCCUCUCUAUCCGUACGACUGAAAAUCGUUUUUCUUUUUUUCUACAACAGCCUAGCUAGGCAGCAGAGCAACAGAAGCAGCCGGCAGCUUGUUGCGUGCAUCAGGCUCCUUCAGUCGGUUACAUUCGUUCAUUCGCCGCGUGAGGCUUGCGGCUAUCCCGGGACGUUGCGCUUGUUUUCUCGCACGACGAGAAAACCCAUGGCCACCCGGAGUUCUCAAAAAGCCACAUACGCACACAAUUCGAUUCGAUAUCGGAAAAAAUAAAUAAAUAAAUGAAAUAAAAUAAAUAAAUAAAUAAAAAUGUCACAUAUACGUACGCGUGUAUGCUGUUGUUCUAUCGUGUGUUUAUACAGUACUCUCUACAUGAAAUGUAUAUUAUGUACUGUAUUAUACUAUAAAAGAAAAAGAAAACAAAAACAGAAAAACAAGGUAACAUUUCCGCGUGCUGGAGUGCUAUAUAAGAAAGCCACUGUCAUUGGCGCAAAAAAGAAAAAGAAAAAAGCACAGGCGUUCAUUUAGAUUGUAUAUACACAUUGCCAUCGAGGUCAGAUGACGUAACUAUACAUACAUUCGAAUUAUCCGCCAAUGAUAAUGAGCUCGCAAAGUCAUCCCGGCGUCAUUUUAACGUCGGGUAUAUAGAGGACAUUUAAAUUUUUAAGUAACGAAAAAAAAAAAUAAAAA
Molecule: long non-coding RNA, 1550 nt
Filed under: Daphnia magna
Lineage: Eukaryota; Metazoa; Arthropoda; Branchiopoda; Diplostraca; Daphniidae
Description: uncharacterized LOC123471493
Source: RNAcentral